RNAcentral lists this long non-coding RNA (12332 nucleotides) under Lynx pardinus (Iberian lynx). The record is from RNAcentral. Lineage: Eukaryota; Metazoa; Chordata; Mammalia; Carnivora; Felidae.
GACUUCUUGUAAUCUAGAAGCAGCAAGAGCAGAUGUGCUUGUAAGAAACAAAGAUCUUGUUUUCAUACAAAUGUUCUCAAAAUAAAACACAAAGGAAGAAAAAUACGCAGAGCACAUAAGAAUUGGUUCUAAAUAGAAUGUUUUACAAAGUUUUCCAUAAAGCCUCAGCUGCUCCUCAAAGCACAACCAGCUUGAACAUGGAUAACAGACGUGAAAUUACAGUACUCACAAAAUUAGUAUUCAGGUUGUAUGAUCUCUCCUUACAAAGGCUUCAAGCAUACUUUAUGCAUGCACAAUUAUGGAAGCAGGUAAUGAGAGAGAUUCUGACUUUCCCCCUAUUGUUGCUAUUGUACUUAGCUAGAUAAGGCUUGAUAAAAAUUGCUUUGUUAAGAAUAAAUCUAAGCAAUAAUUUAUUAAUUCUAUUGAAAAGAGUUUUCGCCUUUUAUUAUAAGGUACAUUGGAUAAUUUUUCUAAAACACACAUUAUUCUGUCCAUGGAGAUAGGUAGCAACAUAAUCAACUUUUACUAAAAAAUCAGAGCUCAGUAACAAUUAAUAAUCUGCAAGCUAUGGUAAUUCUUUACAAUUUUAUUAUUUCAUAUCACAAUUAAUUUCACUUCAAUAAUUAGAGAUUUAAAAAAGGAUAUUCAAAGUUUAUGAUUAUGACCCCCUGAAAUAUAUAGAUAGGAUAAACAAUAUAUCAAAUGAAUGGGUUGUGUCAAAAUAUAUUACAAUGCUUUCACUAUGUCACUUUGAAUUUAAUUCUCUUCCUUGAUGGUCAUUGAUAACAUCCUAAAUUAAUUCUUCAGAUUCUCAAAUAUCUCCCACAGUAACUUCAAAUAUUUCUUGGAAUUAAUCAAAAUUUAAAUAAUAAAAUGAAUUAAUUAUGAUAAAGGUAUCAGUCCCUGCAAUUUAAAAAAAAAUCUCUCUAUCCAACUUACAAUAUGAAUUUGCCAAAAAGUUGAUUUUUUUAUUAAAAAUUUUUUGACGUUUAUUAUUUUAAGAGAGAGAUAGGGAAUGAGUUGAGGAGGGAGAGAAAGAGGAAGACAGAGAAUCUGAAGCAGGCUCCAAGUUCUGAGCCAGACAUGGGGCUUGAACCCAUGAACCGUGAGAUCAUGACCUGAGCCGAAGUUAGAUGUUUAACCAACUGGGCCACCCAGGUGCCCCUUGCCAAAAGAAGUUUAAAUUCUUCUAUAGCUAAAUGAGAAAUAAGAAUUGAGUGGAAAGGCGAUAAGCUAACAAUUCUGACCAUUCCUAAAAUAUAUUGCUCCUAAAGAAAUCUACUAUAGAACAGUCUUUCAAAAAAAAACAUAAAAGAUAAGAAUGAGAUACGUUAGUCCAGAAUUCUGCAUUACUAUUAAGUAAUAGCAUAUACUAUUUGCUUUACUUUCAAUUUAAUGUACACAUUAAUUUUUCAUCUCAUUCAAAUGAAAACUGAAUUUGUUAACUUAAUCGUGAAAUGCAAAAAUACCAGAAUUACAUAAAAGAAAACAUACAAAUAAAAGAAUACAAAUUAAAAGUUCACUAUGUUCUCUAGCCUGGGUUAAAAAAAAUUGAGAAUAAGUAACAGGUGUUUAAUCCUAGUUUUAGUUCUGUGAUCAUACCGAAGUCAUAUACUAUUUUAAGACAUAAGCUCACUUUUUUAAAGUACAUAAUAUGAAUACAGUACUCUAAAUGGACACCAAUGUUUGAGGUAUAUAGUGAGAACUGAAAUAUUAUGAUAAUAUAACUUCUAAAGAAGAGGAGUAAAAACACUCCAGAGACAGGCUUUUUAUAAACACUGCAAAGAGAAGAAAACAAAGUGACUUUUAAUAACUGCAAAAGGCAAUAAUAGUUUGGUUUGAUUUAGCCAAUGUGCAAAGACCUAAAUCAAAAAUAACAUAGCAUAGAUACUUGAAAAUAGCAAAAGAGAAAGGAAAUUGCAUUAAAGGUGCUUUUUAAUGAAUGAAUGACUAGACAGCUUUGGAAUAUUUUAUACUACUUUACUGAUGAAGGAUUCAAUCUCAAUGAUAAUUUUAACAAAGAUGGUACCAAAUCUGUGUAGAUCAUUGUAUUAAGACAUAAGACCAUUAUAAAAAAUGUUGACCCAGUCUUUCUCUAACAUUGCUCCACUAUAGUAAGGGAGAUAAGAUACACAUACAUGAAAAACAUAUAUUUUAUUGUGAGCUAAAUACAAACAUUAUUAAUGUAGAUAGUAGAUGUUAAGUUAGCCUAAAUGGAAUUAUAAAACAUGUAUUUAUAACAUAUAGUAGCAAAAUAGUUCAGGGGUACAAUACAAAAUGUGGUUUAAUAAUUAAACAGAACUAAAGAUGCUUAUAAAUAUGAUAUGUUAGAAUAUGCUGUCUUUUCAUAUACAAAAGUUUUUGUCUAUAAUUAGGUUUUUUUUUUUUUUAAUCUUUGAUUUCAUUAAACAAUGCUUAUGUCAAAUUUUCCAUUUUAAAGACUUCCAAUGAGGGUGAACAAACAAAAACUGGAUAGUGUCUGCACUCUGGGGGAGAUAUCUUAGUUUGCAAAUUGUCAAAAAACCUUGCACCCCCUACAUGAGUGUGGGUUAAUUUAGCUGUUUGUUGCUAUGUGAGGUUUUUCUAGGCAAUGACACAUAUGCUCUAAUUUAUAGUUGGCUGAAAUCUGUAUUAAAAAAAAAACCUGAAUCUGACAUAUUUUAUCAGGAGAAUUACAUUCUGAAGAGCAAGCAUGAGAGAUAUGUAUUCUGAUCCAUGUGGCAGAGACUAUGUUUAUUUUUCUAAUUUUUCUUUUAAAAAUGGAAACAAGAUUUUUAAAAAUUGGGAAGGAAAUAAAUAGAAACAUACAGGACAGAACAACGGUCAGCUUGUAUGUCACUAUCAUCAACUUCUAACUGCAAUCACACUAAUUUAAGAAUGUCCUUUAAAAACUUCUAUUCAGAUGAUUUGCUUGCUUAAUUUAUUGAAGAAACACAAUAUAACUUUUACCAGGGUGUAGGGCUGUUCUCUGCCUUGAUUUGAUCAGUUACAAACAUCAACUCACUUAAUCCUAUUUAAAAACAAAAAACCUUGUGAGGUAAAUUCUAUUAUUACCAUCCAGUUUCAAUAGAUGAGGAGACAGAGAUUAAGACAUUUGUCUAAUUAAGUAACACAGUAAAUGGUAGAACUGAGGUUUGACCCUAGGCUUUCUGAUUCAAGAUUUUUGAUUACCAUGCCAUCAAUGACACUUUUGUCAUUAUCAGCUGGGUCAAUUUGUCUUGGAGCACUGAGCUGGGAAAUUUUGUGUGUGUGUUUGGGCUAAUGACUUCACAGGCUUCCUAGGUAAUUAGAGCAAUUAGUGUAUUUCCUCUUUUGCUUGGUUGCUAUGAGUUCAGAAGCAAGCUUUGUAUUCAAUUGUGGUUUUUUUUAUAAACAGAAUUUCUUGAUUAUUUUUCUUUCCCCUUUGCUUCUUAGUUUCUUUCAUGUUAUACGUAGUUUUUUUUAUGCUAUUGUUCUCUGAAUUCACAAUGAGUUCAAAUUCUUUUUGGAAGUAUUGGGGCAUCAAUCACUAAUCAACUUCUAACAAUAACUACAAAUCAGUCUUGAACAGAACUCCUUCAUAUUAUCUAAUUUAUAAAUCAAAGAACUACAGGGGACCAGUCAUUGGCCACCAUCAGUUAUUUAAGAUAAGGUGUAGCUAAACUAAACUGAAUGAUCACCUGAAACCAGUGAUCAUAACUUCUUUCAAUAUGUAACAAUAAAUACACACACACUAAUUAAAUUUGACCUUUUCAAAGAAUUCAAUCUUUCCUUUAGUAGCACCAGAAGAACCUUUGGGUCAGCAAGCCCAUUUUAUGUGGUGAAGGUGAGGAUGAUGGUGAUCUUUUGACUUUAUCAUCCUGGAUAAAAUGAUGCCAAGUCCUUUUGCCUUUCAUCAAAGGCAGUUAAAUGGUAGAAAAUGAAAGAGUAUGAUUUUAGACGACUUGUUUCUAUUUAGCUUGAGUUCUACCACUAACUAGCUGGUAACACUGAGAAAUCAUUUAAAUUCUAUGGGUUAAAUAUUAUAUGAUUAAAACAAAUCUUCAUAACUCAAUACACCUCUCUUUCCAGCUGGACAUUUUGAUCACUCUUUUGUAUUCUUCUUUUUUAAAAUUUUUUUAGUGUUUAUUUUUGAGACAGAGACAGAGUAUGAGCAGGUGAGGGGCAGAGAGAGGGAGACACAGAAUCCAAAGCAGGCUCCAGGCUCUGAGCUGUCAGCACAGAGGCUGACAUGGGGCUAGAACUGCCGAACUGUGAGAUCAUGACCUGAGACAAAGUCAGACGCUUAACCGACCGAGCCACCCAGGCGCCCCUCUUUUGUGAUAUUCUUUCAUUUCACAUACAAAGAAAUAAUUACCAGGGAAAUGAAGUGAACCAAUCAGAGGAAAACAGUACAAAGGUCUCCUGACUUCUGAAAUUUUAUUAAGAAAUCAAACAUUGUAGGUACAUCCCAUCUCAACUCAGAGGUUACUGCUAUUCUGGGAGUGGUAUCUUUCUUUUCCAUUUUAUUGUACUUUUGCUACAUAUAUAUGUAAAUAAAUAAUACAUAAUACUGUUUUAAGUGUUGAAUGUAAGAAUUCUCUUACUAUUGGCUUAUUUCACCCAACAUAAUGUUAUUUUAUCCAUGUUGACAUAUGUGGUAGUAUAUAACUGCUAUAUAGUAUUUCAAUCAAGUGAUAGACCUCAACUUGUUCAUCUAUUUUCUUGAACAGUGGCUUUCAACCUUUUUUUGGUCAUGAAAUCCAUAGAGAGUAAAAAUACAUUUUAUGUGGUGACCCAGUAGAUAGAUAUGUGUAUCUGUGAAAUCAAACUUUACCUUUUUAUUUAUCCCUGUUGUAUGUGAUGUACUCUAUUCCAUUCUACUUCAUUUUUUUUUUAAUGCUGGUUAUGACACACUAAAUAUAUAGCCCUCUAUUGGGUUUCAACCUGACAUUUGAAAAACACUGUUCUGGGAGAAUUAUUUUCAAACUGCUAUAAUACUUCCAAUAAUCUGAUACUCCUCUAGGAUGGGGUGGGAAGCUACGGGUAGGAGAGUAAGCGCUGAUUAGAAUUUUUUCAAGCAAGGAAGGAUGUAACUAAAUAGAAAUAUGUUAAACCUUUGGAUGGUUUAGGUACAGAAAACAAGUUUGUGAACCAUGGUUUUAGGCAGUGAAGCUGAUUUCUUAUCAUGAGGUAAUUCUGAAAAACUGUAUAGAUUUUUAAAUAAAUGACUCAUAUUUUAAAUUGAUGUUGCAAGCUCACUGCUUUAAGGAUUCCUAAGAACAGUCUAUUUGUAAAUUGGAAUGAAUAUUUUUAGAAAGCGAAUAAAAGCCACUCCUUUUAACUUAUAUAUUUAUUUGUCAUGGUGAAUGAAGAAUGUCCAUAACUCAGGGAAAUGGCUUUAUUUAUGUUUCCAUAAGCUACAUCAAUAAGCUUUAUGCCUCAGUUGCAUUACAGUGUAUUAUUUGCAGACUUAAAUACAAAUGACUUCAUUGACUUAAAGAUCUCCCAUGAAGAUGUUGUAAUGGGGAUUUCUAUGUUGAAUCAAAGUGGGACCAUUUCUUUUACAAAAGAAAAAUAUUUAAUUCUAAUAUGGUUACUUGUUAUAUUGGUCUUUGAAGGUGCAUUUUAGCCUAUGGCUGUAACCAGAGACAUAAGAAUACUUUGGUUUCAGCAAGAUUGGCCAUUACUGUUUGGUUUUUGGCAUUAUCAUCUGACUUAAGUACUCUAUUCCUUUUGUCAUCAGUUCUCAGUAUACAAUGUUUGGUAAGAUCUAAUGACUUUGAUGAAUAAACCAGUCUUCAGAAGAUCCAGAGGUCAGAAGUUGCCUUGUUUCCUUACCCUGAUUUUUAAGGAAGUAAUGGUGUUGAGUUGGCAGAGAAAACAAAUAUGCCAAAACCUUGAAGAAAGAAAACUCAAAAUGUAAGUGCAGGGGAAGCAAGUGUUAGGAGGCUAUCAUUCCAAUUAGGAGCCAUUGUAUAGCCAUGAUCUGCAGCAAUUUAGGCCUCUUGAAUCUUUCACCUUGUGUUACAGUGCUACAAUUUCUGGCCACAAAGUAAAGAUAUAAAUAAUAAUGGCAUAUUUAACUUCUGAAGGCAUGGCUGUCAAUCUGAUUCGAGAUCACAGGAGUCAAAAAGUUGAUAAGGCAAUUGAAAUGGAAUAUGGGAGCUCCAAGUAGGCCAACUCAUCAUGCCACACUCUCAGUUCAACCACACUAUUUGCUGUCUCCUCUGAUUCAAUAUAACACUGCUCCUUCCCCUCCCAAACCUUUCUUACCAUGGUCCCUGAAACUCCUCUCUUAAGCAAAACAAGCAAGAAAUUCCAUCCUACAUCCUCUCACUAAUUUAAAAAAUAUUUGUUUCCUAAAUGAAAGAACUCUCCAUUGAGGCCACUACUCCCUUUUAAGCUGGGGUGAACAUGUAGUUUAACAUAGAAAUCAGAACUAAAAGAAAGCACUAUUAAUAGUUAUGUCAUUACCACAGGUGCAAAUUGGGACUAUUAUUGACAAAGCAGAUGUCAAGGUCACCCCACCUAUAGUCCUCUCAAGUCAAGGCCACUGAUUUUCCUAUAAUUCACUUAGCUUAGGGUUAGAAAAUAGGAUCAGCAUCUCCUAUACAACCUGAACCAUUUUUUCUUCAGAAUAUAUGUAUUCUUAAAUAUAUAUAUUUUUUCAGAAUAUAUAUAUACACGUAUGUAUGUAUGUAUAUAUAUAUACAUAUGUGUAUGUAUGUAUAUAUAUAUACAUAUGUGUAUAUAUAUAUAUGUGUAUAUAUACAUACGUAUAUAUAUUAGAAUAUUUAUACUUUUGUGUAAAACUCCAGUUCAUCUGAUGUCCUUCUUCACUGCUACCUCCUCACUAUUCUUCCUCCUUGUUCUUAUUUAUUAGCCUUACAGGGACUAGCUCUCCAAAGACUUAAGCACCUAGUUCAAUAUCUUCCUCUACUUCCAAGACCCAAGAUAACUUCCUGAUUAUCCUAUCCCUUUUCUAAUAAUCCAGCCCCCAGAAGUCGUGACUUCUCAACCUCCAUUCCGGAUCCUAGUAUCUUGUUAUUCAAUAGAAAUAUCAAACUUCCAUUCACAGUCCUGUAUACUUUUAUAUCUCUCACUCAGUAUUCCCUUUCAGACAAGCUCUUCAACCCCAAUGGGACUCAAGGUCUCUAUAUCCCUCUACCUUUUGUAUUGGUUGGCACCCUUUCUGUUGGCAUCCUUCUCUAUGUGGCUGACUCAACAGUCCAUUACUUUCUUUCUUUUAAUUAAAGUCAACUUUAGUUCAGAGUCUUACAGCUCCCUACUUGUCUAAAUUUCUCUACCGGGUCAAUCCUGUGGUUCAUAUUGUCAAAAUCAUUAUACCUGGUCUAUGAGCUCACCUAUAAGUUAUAGCAUCAAGUAUACGGAUGGUUUAUUUGUGGUCACCAGCCUCAACUGUUUCCUCUAUUCUGCCCAUCUAUUUUCCACAUACUUUUUAGUUACCAUCUCUCACAUUCUUCAUAGCAACCAUCUCAAGCUUAUUCACUUUUGUUAAACUUUCAAUCCAGCCACUAUUCCCUUCCUUCUCAGUUAAUAACACCUUCUUCCAACCCUCCCCAACUUCCUAUCAUCAACUAACAGACUUAUUUGCAGAUAUUCAUCUUUUCUUACUUCUCUUAAGUAUAAGGGGUAUCUCUUCCCCUAUCUGAAGCUAAUUAUUUCACUUGUGCUCUAGAUUUUUUUUUUCCUGUCCUUGAAGGGACCUCACUUUACCAAUUUUUUUUCUAUCUCCAAUCCCUAAAUUGCUACUGGCAUCUUCUGAUCAGCAUGCUGAAGUCUUAAAACAAACAAACAAAAAACAAAAAACUUCCCUGAGCCCCAUAUCCUCCUCCAGCUACUAGCCUCUGUCUUUCUUUUUAAAGCCAAACUCAUUGAAAUUAUUGCUCUAUACUCACAGCCUGUAUUUCCUCACUUUAUGGUCUUCCCAAUGACUCUGAUCUGUUUUCUGCUGUCAUCACUAUAGGCAGAAUUUGUUGCUGUUUUUCUCUUCCUUCCAUCUUCUUAGAUCUCCUGGUUUUCCUGUCAGAUCUCUGAAUGAUCCCAUUUAGACAGCUUAUCUCAAAAAUGCUGUUUGUCCCUCAUGAAUCUCCUUAAGUAGCCUGGCUUGACUGAGGCUGAAUAAUUCACAGAAGUUCUAAAACAGGAAAAAGGAUGAGACCAUGAUAUUCUUGAGGGUCAGGAGAGAGGUCUGGGCAGAUGAUGAUGGUCAUGUGCAUGUGAGGAAUGGAGUAGCUUACUGAGCUUUACUAUCUAGGGUCUUGCCUUUAGCCUUGUGCGGUUAUAGAAACACAAGUUUAUAGAUGCACUUAGGACAACUAAAAACAUUUAAACUCCUAAGACAUGACUAUAUAAACCCAGAAACAUUUAUACAUAAAGGAAAAUAAUUUUCAAGCAUACUAUCUCCACAUAGGAAAAUCACAAGGAAAGUGCAAACAUCACUAAGUUGACAAUGUUGGGCUUGGAAUUGAUCAAAGGGUUCUGUGUAUGAAAGACAGUCUAAUGGUACCAGGUCUGUAGCCUACAGUGUCCAUCUUCACAUCAAGAAUAUUCUCAAAGACUUAGGAGAAGGGUACCCCUCUCUCAGAUAUAUUAAGCUUUGAAGAAAGAGGAUUCCUAUCUGAGUAUUUAACUAGUCUUCUGUUAAGCAUUUAUUCUUGAACAUAAGUAUCAGGAGAUGUUCAAUUAUUUUUAAGAAUAUAUUAUGAACAUACCAGACCCCUCAUUCAUUUUAUUUUGGGGCUAUUUCAAGAUGUUUUGGGAAGCUCUUCUGCCUUAAACAGGUUAUUCAAAAUGUGCUAAAACAAACUUCCCCCAAAGCUAUCAGUCAGCUUCCUUCAUAAAUAGAAUCUCUGCUAUCAAAGUAUUAUUUCUUUUUGUUUUUAGUAAAAAACCCUGCUGUGAGAGAACAAAUACAUAACUUCUAUACCUAUGCAAAGGGGGACAGAAGAACCUAAUUAAAAUAGCAUAGUUUCAUGUCUCUACUCCAGUAUUCAAUUUGUAAAUUAAAACAGAAAAAAAAUCCUAAUCUCACAGGCUUCAUUUAAUGGAUCCUAGCAAAAUGCUCAAAUUGACCUUUACUAUAAACUGAGAGCUGCUCUCCACUAGAAAAAAAAAUCUGUUUCUUGAAUUCAAAAUGUCAUUUAAGAAUACCAAAACCAUUUUAAAUCACAAUAUUCACUACACAAAGUCAGUCACUCAUUCUUUGCACAUAUAGGUGGGUUAAGUCUACAAAAGGAAGGAGUUUGAUGCUUAUGUUUGGGGAAGCAAUGAAUCAGAAGUGAUCACUUUUGAAACAAAAGUGCAAAUGUGCUUGGUGAUCCAGAAUUUAAAGUUAAGAUCUUGUCUCUAUCUCUUUGUUGCCAUUAAUUGAUACUCAGUUCUUUAUGGGGUGAUUAUCUUUUAAUUCACUCUCAGUGGUUCUCUCAUGUCAUUCACUGGUUCAGAAGAACUCAAGGAAGGUACAGAUGAAUACCUGAUGUUAAAGUAUUAGAUGUCAAAUAGGUUAUGUUUCACAUAGAUAGGCACUGGACUUGGUAGAGUUCUAUAUUGAUAAAACAUUUGAAUAAACUUCUAAGUAUAUCGUAGACAUUUGGGUUUUCUUCCAAAUGGUUCAAUAUUAGAUAGUAGUUACCUAAAGGGCUGGAGUUAACUGCAUCAACAGUUCUGUAUGAUUGAUAAGUAUAUUUGGCUAUUUAGGUGACAGUAUAUCAUGGUGGUUAUUACUAUUGGCUUUUUAAAACUUAAAAUAUGUCUUUGAGUCCAGCUCUGACAUUGUGGUAUCCUGAAAAAGAUAGUAAUGUAUUCAUGCUUCAAUUUCUGCAUGUGAAGAAUGGGGCUAACAUUAUCUCUGUUAAAAAUCGCUAUGGGGUUAAAUGAGAUAAUGCACGUAACAUGCUUAUCAUGAUGUUUGGCAUAAAGUAAAUGCCUAUAAUGGUAAUGAUGGUAUAUAGCUAGUUCCACUGAUACUCCAACUUCAAAAUAUUUUGUUAAUGUUUAUUUUUGAAGGAGACAGAGAGAGAGAGACAGAGCGUGCGCAGGGGAGGAGCAGAGAGAAAGGGAGACACAGAAUCCAAAGAGGGCUCCAGGCUCCAAGCUGUUAGAAUAGAGCCUGACAUGGGGCUUGAACUCACAAACCAUGAGACCAUGACCUGAGCUGAAGUUGGACGCUCAACCGACUGAGCCACCCAGGUGCCCUGAUACUCCAACUUUGAGAUCAGUUAUAUCAUCAAUCUAAAGUGUUGUAGAUUCUGCAUAUUUAUUUCUCAAAAAUGAUAUAUUUCGAAAACAUAAUCUUCCAAUGAAGUAUUGCAAUGUUCUUACUCUCUGCUAAAAACUGUAUCUGCAAUAUAGUUUAUAGGACUUUUGAUGAUAUACUUAGUCUACUAAGUGGGACUUUCCCAGGUGCCUAGUACCUCACCAUGACGUCAAGUUUUAAAUACCUUUUUGAAGCCUAAACAUAGCUGUUAAGGGGAGGGAUACUGAUGGUGUUAUUCUCAUCUGCAUAUAUCAUGUCUUGAGACAGUUCAGAAUGCCACACUAACCUCUAUAUUAAGCUAACCUUUCUCUAAACCACAAGUCAUGAGAAUUGGGGGAGGUGACAUUUGACUUUACUACCUGUAAAUGACCUUUCUUUGAUUAAUUUCCCUCUUCGAAACCACACACUGUCUUUCAGAGUUAUCAAGCAGGAAACAGCUCCCCAUUUCUAUCCCUGUGUGGCUUUUAAUUCCCUAAGUUGUCACCACCUGGCUAUAAAAGAGGGGGAAGGUUGAAUCCCUGGAUUCUUUUCUUCACUAUCUGUUGGUAAUGUGGUCUUCUAUUUUCUUCAGUCUAUAUGGGGUUGUUUAAACAUAUGAUUAGACUCGGCUGUACUGUGAAAGAAUUUUGGUUCACAAGGAGCUGAGGCUUCUCACAAAAACUGGACAUGUAAUUCCAAAGCUUUUCACAGGAUUAAAACAAAACAAAACAAAAUGAAACCAAACAAAACUGGAUCAUAUUCCUAUUGGCACUGGUUUAACUAUGAAGUAUUUCCUUGAGAUGUAACCUGUCAUCACUCUGCUUUCUUUGACUAUGGGCAUCUCUAGCAGAAUCCAACUCUUGGUAUGAAAGGUCUCUAGGCUAAUCCGCCCUAUUUUCACUUCCCAAUUCCAAAGUCAGAUGAUCAUUUUUGGUUUGCCUUCUUAUCCCCAGAGAGUGUUUAUUAUAUUAUAUUUAAAUUAGGGGCAUCUGGGUGGCUCAGUUGGCUGAGCAUCUGACUCUUGGUUUUGGCUCAGGUCAUUAUCUCCUGGUUCAAUUAAUUGGUUCAAGCCCUGUGUCUGGCUCUGUGCACUGUGCAGGGAGUGUGGAGCCUGCUUGGGAUUCUCUCUCUCUGUUCUUCCCUCACUCAGGUGCUCUCUCUCCCUCUCUCAAAAUAAAUGAAUAUACUUUAAAAAUAAAUAAUUAAUACUCACUAGACAAUGCAUUCUCCUUAUUGUUAUCCUUUCUAUAUGUGAGUUGUGUCUUCGGAAAGUUGAAUCAUUUCUUUCUUCUCUUGUGCUAACACUUUUUUGGAGAGUUCAAUAACCUCAUUAUACUUUUUAUGUUCAUAAAUUUUAAGGUUGUUUUAGAAGAAUUUUUUUCCUCCAUGCCUUUUAGAGUUUUUUUUUAAGCAUCAACUAUCUACACUUGACCCAGCUCAAAGUUCUUUCAUUUUUGCAUUAAUAGAAUUCAUUUCCUCAAAUACUGAACACAUCUGCAUUUUAAAGCAACUAUGGUAUAUUCUGAUGACAUCUUUAAAAAUGUACACUUUCAUUUUUAUUCAGAAACUUCUCCAGUCCUCACCCCCCUGGCCUUAAGUUUAACUCCCACAAUUUAUAAUUCUCAUUUGGGAUAGAGACAGCUUAUCUUCUGCUCUACAUCAAAAUGUGCUCUUUAGAAGCAAUCUGAUAUUAUUCUAUCAAAGUGUGAAUUUAAGUCACCCUGUUACCUUUUCUAGGGACAAGGGUAUUUGCACAAGAACCUUAUCUCUAAUUGCAAAGUGACACUCUUAAGAAUUGUUAAAAGAAACUAUUGUUCAAGGCAGAUGGAAUGAGAAGACCCUUACCAUAUAGGACUCACAUGCCACCCAGCAGACCCCAGAUUAUCAAUGUGGUCAGGAGGUAUUAAUAUGUUUUACUUAUGAACUGGAUUUGGUAUCUUAGAAUGUUUUCUUUGAAAUUAUGGUUCUAUUUCUGGCUUGCUUGCUUCUUCAUAGUGCCAAUCUAGGUCGGCAGGAGAAUAUGAGACCAUUGUUCCAUAUCCCGCUUAAAAGAGAACACCACUUCAAAGAGAACAACAACUGACAAAAAUAAAACAAGCAAUCAGUUUUAAAA